RNAcentral lists this ribosomal RNA (497 nucleotides) under uncultured bacterium. Its description in RNAcentral is "partial 16S ribosomal RNA". It matches the Rfam family "Bacterial small subunit ribosomal RNA", at positions 28 to 507 of the family's 1533-position model. The record is from RNAcentral.
GAUGAACGCUGGCGGCGUGCCUAAUACAUGCAAGUCGAGCGAACAGACGAGGAGCUUGCUCCUCUGACGUUAGCGGCGGACGGGUGAGUAACACGUGGAUAACCUACCUAUAAGACUGGGAUAACUUCGGGAAACCGGAGCUAAUACCGGAUAAUAUAUUGAACCGCAUGGUUCAAUAGUGAAAGACGGUUUUGCUGUCACUUAUAGAUGGAUCCGCGCCGCAUUAGCUAGUUGGUAAGGUAACGGCUUACCAGGGCAACGAUGCGUAGCCGACCUGAGAGGGUGAUCGGCCACACUGGAACUGAGACACGGUCCAGACUCCUACGGGAGGCAGCAGUAGGGAAUCUUCCGCAAUGGGCGAAAGCCUGACGGAGCAACGCCGCGUGAGUGAUGAAGGUCUUCGGAUCGUAAAACUCUGUUAUUAGGGAAGAACAAAUGUGUAAGUAACUAUGCACGUCUUGACGGUACCUAAUCAGAAAGCCACGGCUAACUACGUG